CCUACGGGCGGCAGCAGUAGGGAAUCUUCCACAAUGGGCGAAAGCCUGAUGGAGCAACGCCGCGUGGGUGAAGAAGGUCUUCGGAUCGUAAAACCCUGUUGUUAGAGAAGAAAGUGCGUGAGAGUAACUGUUCACGUUUCGACGGUAUCUAACCAGAAAGCCACGGCUAACUACGUGCCAGCAGCCGCGGUAAUACGUAGGUGGCAAGCGUUAUCCGGAUUUAUUGGGCGUAAAGGGAACGCAGGCGGUCUUUUAAGUCUGAUGUGAAAGCCUUCGGCUUAACCGGAGUAGUGCAUUGGAAACUGGGAGACUUGAGUGCAGAAGAGGAGAGUGGAACUCCAUGUGUAGCGGUGAAAUGCGUAGAUAUAUGGAAGAACACCAGUGGCGAAAGCAGCUCUCUGGGCUGUAACUGACGCUGAGGUUCGAAAGCGUGGGUAGCAAACAGGAUUAGAUACCCGAGUAGUC
Molecule: ribosomal RNA, 465 nt
Filed under: uncultured bacterium
Lineage: Bacteria
Description: partial 16S ribosomal RNA
Rfam family: Bacterial small subunit ribosomal RNA
Source: RNAcentral